AGAGUUUGAUCAUGGCUCAGAACGAACGCUGGCGGCGUGGAUAAGACAUGCAAGUCGAGCGGGAUUUCUUUCUGUAGCAAUACAGAGAGAAGUCUAGCGGCGAACGGGUGCGUAACACGUGGGCAAUCUGUCUUAAAGUGGGGGAUAGCUCGGCGAAAGCCGAAUUAAUACCGCAUGUGAUCAGGGAAGACAUCUUUCCAAAAUCAAAGGUGGCGCAAGCUACCGCUUUUUGAGGGGCCCGCGGCCUAUCAGCUUGUUGGUGAGGUAACGGCUCACCAAGGCUAUGACGGGUAGCUGGUCUGAGAGGACGACCAGUCACACUGGGACUGAGACACGGCCCAGACACCUACGGGUGGCAGCAGUCGAGAAUUUUUGACAAUGGGGGAAACCCUGAUCGAGCGACGCCGCGUGGAGGAUGAAGGUCUUCGGGUUGUAAACUCCUGUCAUUUGGGAACAAGGCGCAAGUAUUAACUGUACGUGCGUUGAUAGUACCAGAAGAGGAAGAGACGGCUAACUCUGUGCCAGCAGCCGCGGUAAUACAGAGGUCUCAAGCGUUGUUCGGAUUCAUUGGGCGUAAAGGGUGUGUAGGUGGCGCCGUAAGUCGGGUGUGAAAUUUCGGAGCUUAACUCCGAAACUGCAUUCGAUACUGCGGUGCUUGAGGACUGGAGAGGAGACUGGAAUUUACGGUGUAGCGGUGAAAUGCGUAGAUAUCGUAAGGAAGACCAGUGGCGAAGGCGGGUCUCUGGACAGUUCCUGACGCUGAGGCACGAAGGUCAGGNNACAAACGGGAUUAGAUACCCUAGUAGUCC
This 809-nucleotide ribosomal RNA is filed under the name uncultured bacterium. Its description in RNAcentral is "bacterial SSU rRNA". It matches the Rfam family "Bacterial small subunit ribosomal RNA", at positions 8 to 796 of the family's 1533-position model. The record is from RNAcentral.